Molecule: long non-coding RNA, 457 nt
Organism: Lotus japonicus
Lineage: Eukaryota; Viridiplantae; Streptophyta; Magnoliopsida; Fabales; Fabaceae
Exons: 3
Source: RefSeq, a predicted model, not a curated record
ACAUCAAAACUAUUUACUCAAAAAGCUCCAAAGUUCCCACCGUAUAAUACUCCAAUUGAAGAAUAAAAGAAGCUGAAUCUUUCAAGUGGGUGUAUGCUCUUGGUUAGUGUUUUGGGUGUUAGGGAUUUUGCUCUAAGAGAGGAGAAGAUCACCCACCCCAUAAAGAGUAUUCACUUGAGCUCAAUGAGAUUUGCCGACCACGGACUCAUCCGGACAUCUUGAAGUUGUUGGGAGCGCUCCUCUUGAUCCUUCAUAGUUAUUCACAGGUAGCUGAGUAGGAGGUUGCUUCAGUUGCAGCUUGUACAGUUACUUCUUUUUGGUAGGCCUCCUACGGUUGGUGGCCAUGUUGAUGUCUUUUGUUGAUCUUUUUGGUAUUCUGCAGCUAUAGGGAAUAUGUAAUAAUUAUAUUUUGUAAGUGUAAAAGUUCUACGAUGUAUUUGAUGAUGUUACUUCUUGG